UCAACUAGAGUAGGAUUACCAACUUGGGGAAAGGAUUCAUCCUCAACAAUGGAUUAGGAUUUCAAUUUUCCAUUUGCAGCCUGGGAAAAAGAUGUGAGCUACAUACCAUGUUAAGGUGCUUAACAAUCAAGGCAUGACCAAAAUGUUGACUACUUUUUAUACAACCAUGAAUUUCCAAGGCCUACCAUGUGCUUCAGGCAAAUUUUCACCAGUAACUCUUUCUAACCAUCAGCCAUCUAGAUACUCCUGCAAUCACCAAAGGAAACAGAAUACAGCCACCUACAAGAAAUACAUGAACAAAAGAACCAAAAAAAAAAAGUUAGAGCUUGUAAUGUCAGCCCAUAAUACAAGCACAAAAGAAAGAUAAUAUUUUCUCUGUUAAUGAAAAGCACAGAAAUCUCUUCGUCAUGGUAAAAAGGUUAUAAAAAUCAAAAGGGCCACCACUUGCCUGCUAACAAGAGACUUCAUACCGAAAGCUGCAGUUUACACGAGUUCAGAAAAAAAAACAAAAUAAAAGCAGACCAAGAGCAUGUUAUAUAUAUAGAUUAUGCACAUGCAAGAACCGACACUGCACAAAGAUUGCAUUGAAAAGAAAAACACAUACAAGGCAGCUAGUGAAAUGUCUUCUUUCGAAGUAACAAUCCUGAACUUUCUUUGUAGGUCGAUUGCUAGGCUGACAGAUGUUAUAUACCAGCCAUAAGUCUUACAUGACCAUUGGUGCAUACCAAAGCCAAGAAAUAACAAAUAUCCGCAAUACUAACAUGCGACAGUAACUACUAAAUAUGCUUGGUUUAUCCCAAAAGCUUGAACUUCAUUUUUUUAAAAAAAGAGUCUGAUCACAUUCUAAGUGUUGUAUUGUAAUCAUGAUCUGCAGAAGGUUGGGAAAAAAAUGAACUCAUAAACUGAAGUCGCAGCAGCAAGAGACAAGCUAACAACGAACAGGAAGCCAGGGGCUUGAGCAACAUUAUGCUGAAGUAAACCAUGUCCUAGCCACUGGCUUGAUAAAGACGACACUUGUUACAAAUUAUGAGCCCUUUAACGUCAAGUCUGUCAUGAGACAAUUGAAAGAAAUUCCUAGGUAGAGAGAAUGGAUACCCACCUACAGGCAAAUCAAAGUGAAAAUCAAAUAUUACAUAUGGGUAUAGAUCAAGGAGACUCAUUCCUAGAAGAAUAUAUUAGAAACAUACAUUCUUUAAGAAUUUGCUGUCCAAGAAUUUCUCAAAUGUUUAUAUAAU
RNAcentral lists this long non-coding RNA (1235 nucleotides) under Phoenix dactylifera (date palm). RNAcentral's name for it is "long non-coding RNA (PDAC_LNC013230)". Lineage: Eukaryota; Viridiplantae; Streptophyta; Magnoliopsida; Arecales; Arecaceae. The record is from RNAcentral.